GGGGCUGUGGCUCAGUGGUAGAACAUCAGGUUUUGCAUGCACAGAGUCCUGGGUUCAGUCCCCAGCACCUCCA
RNAcentral lists this transfer RNA (73 nucleotides) under Sphaerodactylus townsendi. Its description in RNAcentral is "tRNA-Ala". The record is from RNAcentral. Lineage: Eukaryota; Metazoa; Chordata; Lepidosauria; Squamata; Sphaerodactylidae.